AGUGAUGACUUCCAAACCCUUACAUGCCAGACCAGAAAGCAGACAUCCCUAUUAUUUUUUCAUACUAUCCUCACCACAGUCCUCUGAAGUCAAUGUUGUGAGCUCAGAUUCAAAAAUAAGGAAACAAUCUGAGAAAGACAAUUGCUGGGGGCUACCAUAUGCCAAGUACUGUGCACAGCACUGAUAAUCUAAGGAUGAAUGACAUGAUUCCUACAUUUGAGAAAUUCAAAGUCUGAUGAGAAAGCCAGACUGAAAACCAACAACAAGAAUAUGUGGCCAUACUGUCACCAAAUCCAGGUCCAGAAGCUCAUUCCAUGGAAAAACCAAUGUCUAAGACAAGAGUGUUGGAGAGAAGGAAAGACUUUAUUCAGUGGCCAAAAAUGGAAGAAAGGGACUUUGCUCACGAAUCUUCUCAACUCCACGGUGUUGAGGGUUAUAGAUAUAGGGUAGGGAUUAUGGGGGGAAAAAGAUAAGCUAAUCAAGGAGAGGAAUAUUCAUGCCUUUUUGGAGGGUGGGGUAGGCUGAGAUCUUCCAAGAACUCAGGUGCCACCUUUUAUUCCUUCUUUCAUGGUCUGGUACUCCCAGUCAUGAUAGCUGGUCCAGGGGUCUUUAGCUUUGAAGGAGGAAGAGAGAGACUGGACAAAUCUAAGUAAGGUCAGCCCUGUAUUAUAGUUUCAGACAAAGCAUUUCUCAAAUGAUCAACAUGUCUACAUGCAGAGCUGAGUAGAAUCUGACAGCAAAGGAGACAGACACAAUAGGAAGACUGAGACGCCAAGCCCUAACAUCCUUGUGUAGUCACCCAUGGGACAGUCAUGCUAGCCUAAGUGAAGACUCAGGGUUUUCAGCAAACAUUCCUGGGAAGUAACCUGGGCAACCAUUACCAUCAUCACCCACAUGACAGAGGUAUUAACUACGGCAAAGCUAAGGGGAGACUGAUAAUGUAUUGUCCAGCUAUAAGACCUUUCCUAUUAGUGAUUUUUUUUUACAUCAACUAAGAGCAAGAGUGUUUAUUUAGGUUUUCCCUCAGUAAUAAUACUUCAAUAGAAACAUAAAUAAAAGGCCUCGAGAGCGGCUACUGAAGGAGUUUGUAGUAGUUUCCUACUGACACUGCAACAAAUUAUCACAAAUGCAGUAGUUUAAAAAAACACACAUUUAUUUUCUUACAGUUCCAUAAGCCAGAAGUCUGACCAUUUCACUGGGUUAAAGUCAAGGCAAUGGCAGAGCUGGUUCUCUCUAGAGGCUCUAGCAAGGAAGUUGCUUCCUUUUCUAAUCUCUGGAGACCACCUAUAUUCUUUGGCUUGUGACCCCUUCCCUGUAUCUGUUCAGCCUUUUGCAUAGUCAACACAUGGAACAUUUUCAUAGUCCAAUCUUCCUGUCUCCCUCUUAUUUUUAUGAUUAUAUAAGGCCAGGCUAACCUAGCAUAAUCUUCCCAUCUCAAGAUCCUUAACUCAAUCACAUGUCUGCAAAGUCCCUUUGUGCAGGAUAAAAAAGUAAGGUAAAACUUGCAGGCUCCAUGAAAUUUUUGCAGGCCAUUUUUCAGGCUACCACAGUUAUACAAUAAGUAAAGGCAUUUGGGCUGGGGUCUGGAGGGGUGAGAAGGGAUUAUUCUGGCAAUUUUCUAUACUGGAAGGACAUGGUGUUCAAUGCCCUCACCUGUUCAAGGACCAGUAAGGUGUUCAAAGUAGCUCCAUAGUGGAUAAAGACAGAAGCCAAAGCUGGUAAGGAAAGUGAGGUCAGACCACAGUGUCUUCAAUAGUAGUCCAGGAAGUUUGAAUCUGGCUUUAUUAACAGAACAGUUACACAACAAUAAAGUGCGAUGUUGAUAAAGCCCAGUGGAGAAAUGAUGAUGGAAGGUUUUAUGAAAGCAGAAACACUGGCAUUCAUCAACCACAAAUUGUAGAGCUCAUCCUGUUAAGGGAUAUCAACCAUGUUGUGAGUUCCUAAUCCCUGGCCCUCUUUUUAUGUUCCAGUCCUAGUUUAGGAGCCCUUCUCAUCUGUAUAGUGAACAAAGGCUCCUAAAGCCUUCAGUUUUGCCACUCUCCAGUGAAUCCCUUACACUGCAGUCGGAGUAACUUUCUAAACACAGGCUGUCCACACCAUUGCCUGUCUAGUUAUGAGUGACUCCUUUAGGAUACACACAGGAGCCUCCAUGUCCUGGCCCAUUCUCCUCUUUGGUCACACUACUGAGCUUCCCUUGGUCACUGUUGCAAAGUAAGUCACAUUGUACCUUAGCCAAUGGCUAUACCAGAAACACACCCUUCUUGGGAGACUUUAAAACUUCUUGGGAGCCUGGGUCACCAUUCCCAACACAUUCUGCUUAUGCGUGCUUCUGGGUCCCUUGGUAUCCUUGCUUGACCAGAACCCCCCUAUUAUACCCUAGUAGAGCAAUUUUGAGUCUCAGGGUGAAUAGUGGUAUCCUGGAUAUCCCUUAAGCUUUACCUUUCCAACUUCUGCCCCCGCUACCCCUCAAGUCCAGGCCAGUGCCCUAUAUAAAAUCCUCUCCUCAUGCAUGUGGUGAAAUCUGUGAAUCUGAUGCCAUGUCCCUUCCAUAACCAGGUUACUAAUCCUUUGAUUGAGUUAAUCAGAAGGGAGCUUUUCCUGGAUGGACCUGUCCUCAUCAGUGGAGACUUUAAAAGAAGUCAGAUAGAUAGCUCCUGCUGGCCUAAAGGAGAAAGAAGGGACUCAAGGUGGGAGAGACUGAGCAUAGAGGAGGGGCAAGGUGACCAAGAGUAGCAGGUGACUUCUACAAGCACAGAGAAGCCCAUGGAAGCCACUCAGCAAGAGAAUGGAGAAGGCAUCAAUCCUACUCACUCACUCAUGUCUGGACUUCUAACUCACAAAAACCAUGAGAUAAUCAAUGGGUGAUGUUUUAAGCUGCUGAAUUUUGGGUAUUUUGUUCUGUAACAACAGAAAACUAUUCUAAGUACGGACUAAAGUUCCUUCCUCCCAAGCUAACCUGAGGAUCUUCACAGAAAUCUACCCCCACUCCAGAGCUUUGCAUACCACAAGGAUCUGGGAGAGACAUCAAGUCCCAAAAUGAUUUCCAUGUUUUUCUGCUGAAUGUCUUUUAGUUUUAGAGUUAUAUAAGCAAGAGGGAUCAUUCUAGAAGAGAUUUUUCUUUAAUAAGUUUCUUUGUCAAAAGAACUUGCUGACUUCACCCACGUGGAGAAGAAAUGCUGAGUUGCUGGCUUUUAAACAAACAAACAAACAAACUAAGUUCUGCCUCACACGGCUAGGAGUGAGAGAAUUCUUACUGGAUAAUAGAAAUUUCUUCAUUGAACUAGCAAAGAAACAGCUGCUGUUCCCAUCCACCACCCGCCCCUCUCUCAGAGGAUACUUGUUGUCACAUGCUGGUAUUCUCAUGCCACGGAGUAAAUUUCAGGAGAACUGGGCAGAAGAGAGGACCAAGUGCUAGGUGUGGCAAUGUGGCAAAUUUCAGGCCACUGAACUAAGAGUAGAAAUGAUACAGGCAAAAUCAUGAAUCAUCCAGGAGUCCACAUGUUCUAGAUGACCAUCUUCUUCCCCUUCCUGGAAUACAGACCUUGCUGCAUCCCAGCUUCUACCAUAUAGAUGAAGACAAGGCAGAGGCAGGUAGGUGCUUUAGGGAAGGUGCCAGUUGUUAAGGGACAAAUAGUAAAUAUUUUAUGCCUGUGGUUCAUAUGAUCUCUGAAGAAAUUUUUCACCUCUACUGUUGUAGCAUGAAAGCAGCCAUGACAACAUGUAAAUAAAUGAGCCUGACUAUGCUAACAUAUUAUUACAGAGACAGGCAGUCCUUUCAUGGGGGUAAAGCUUACUGAUCCCUAGGGCAAAGCCACAGGACAUCAGGAGCUGGGUCCCUAAAUAGUCACUUGGAGUGGAACCAUUGAAUUAUCCUAGAUGGCUACCUGCAGAUUAAGUCGUGAGGAAGAAACAAACUUCUUUUAAAAGUCAGUUUACUUUAGGGAUUCUUUGUUGUGGCAGCCUGGCCUCUGCCUAUUUAAUAGAGAAACUGGCACUCACUGGGUACAUAGUGUGUUCCCUGUGUAAAGAUGAUUCAAAGAUAAAUGGCAUAGGCUUCUUGCCAGACAGAGCUUUCAGUGUGGUUGAGAGGGGCAUCCCAGCACAGUAGAGUGGGGCUGUAACCGAGCUAUAAGAAAGUGCUCAGGAAAUAGGGAUGCGACUGGGAAGAAGGGAAAAAUCACUUAGUGCCUAAUAUGCGACAAGGAUUUUAUUGUUAUAUCUCUGAGCUCUGAGAAGUCUAUGAAAUAUGUUAUUAUACUUGCAUUUUAGAAAUGAAAAAAAAAGUCUCCAGUCUAUGAAAAACUGUUUAACUUACCCAGUUGCAUAGAUAUAUUUGAAGCCUUGAAAAGUAUCCACUCCAAUGAUGGGUUUAUUCAUUGUUGCCCUGCAGAGCCUGACCUAGGAUAGAGAACAUCAUCAGAAUUGUUAACUAAGAAUUAUUAAGCAGCUUCUAUCUGGCCAGACCCAAAACUGGGAGCUGGAAAGCUAGAGGAACGAAGGAAAGAAUCUGAUCUUUAAAACAGCAAAGCUUUGACAAGCUGUCACCCUAUCGUUUUGCAUUUUGGAGUGGCUAAUCUAAAGGACCACUCUGCUCUUGGAUAUUCUGAGAUGAGCCCAGUGUCCAUCCUUCCUCAUGACUCCUGGAAGAUUUGUGAUGACUGUCUUAUUUACCAGCCACUACACAAUUUCAGGUCCCUUUCCUUUUCCUUGAGAUAUGACUCAUGAAUGAGUGUUCUCCCUGGCGGAACAGCCUUUGUUGUCUGGUAGCUUUUGUCUUUCACAGUUUUGUUACUGACUCAGUAGACUCGGACCUCAUCUCUGAGGCCUCAUACUGACUGCCAGGCUUGAGUCCUUUGUGUGCCCUUCCUGACUUCAGUGUUGGGCCCAACUCCCAGUCCUGUGCUCUGGACUCCAAGGAUCUGAGCUUGAAGAUAAUUUCUAAGAUCUUUAGAUGAUUUAAACCUUAGACUUCUACUAAAUUCAGUGAAUUCAUGGACAUUUAUCAUUUACAAGUAAGAAUCAUGGAGACCUACAACCUGGCUGUUCAGAUCCCUGUUAUGACUCUCGGUUACUUGCAGCUCGUCCAGUUCCCUGCAAUUUGAAGAAGCCUUGCAAGCCAAAGCCUGACAACUUGCUAUAAACCUGUAAGGGCUCUCUACUUCAGCAGACCACACAUGGGCCCCAACUCUCCUGACACAAGUUGGCCAAAGGAAAGCCAGUGAAAUGUCCAGGUCAUACCUGAGGUAACCAGAGAAGAGACAACACUGCCAUAGCAUUUGAGCAGGAGACCUUCAAGAAAUCCAAAGAAGCCAAGAAUGGUGAUACAUGUUUGUAAUCCCAGCACUCUGGGAGGCUGAGGCAGGAAGACUGUAAGCUUUACUCCAGCCUGGGCAAUUUAGCAACUUAGCAACAUCCUGUCUCAAAAUAAGCAAGCAAGGAAGAAAGAAAGAAAGAAAGAAAGAAAGAAAGAAAGAAAGAAAGAAAGAAAGAAAGAAAGAAAGAAAGAAAAGAACAACAAAAAAGAAACCCAAAGAGCAAUGCUUAAUCAAAAGAGUUGCCUUUACCAACCUCUUAGAAUUCACUGGACUGGAUUCAUAGCUUUGUACUUAAAUCCAACUGUUCAUAUUAAUCCUUUUCUUUUUCAUUUUUAGGCACCCCUCUUUCAAGAUGUCUGCCCUCCAGAAUGCUGAAACAAGUGAUCUUUCCUAUGACCUCUCAAUAGAUGUUGCAACACAUUUUAGAGAAACAACAGACAAGGGUCUCAAGUAACUGUGUCUUGGGUCCUGCUCCACCUCUGGAGAUUUAUGAGCGCUCCAGAGUUUUUCAGCAGUGAAGGAAAUAGAGACCGACAAUGUGGAACCUUUUGUUUCUGAGUAUGUGCUCCCUGGCAGUUGCAACACUCUUGGUUUAGGGGAUCCCUGGCCAACCAGCUGGUAGUGACCGAUGGCUGCUAAACACACCUCAAGACUGAAGGAAAGGAGAAGCUGGAGACAACGAACAUUACAUAGAUGUUCACAAGCAAGAGAACAAAGUCACUACUUGAUCAUUCAACUGGAAACUCAAAUUGCCACGAAGGAGCCUGAAAUCAAUAUGCCUUGGGCCCAUGAAAGGCAUAGUGCAGGCCUGACUAGUGGGUCUGUUGGUAAGAACAGAAGUGUUCUCUUCUCAAGACAGCGGUGGGUCCCUGAAGCCAUGGAUAAUAACAGACCCUAUACAUAAAGCCAGAAAAGCCCAAGGUCAAAUUUUCAGCCUCUGGACUGGGGACACCUGCCAUUUGCGAGCAGCAUCCUGCCCUUGUGGACCUCAGAAAGGUUUCCCUGCUGGCUCCAGAUGUGGGCUCUUGACACCUGUCUGACUCUGAUGCAUUUGGAAACAGCACUUUCUGGUGGCAGUGACCACUAGCAACCCUGAUUUAGACAUGGUAAAAAGAGCACAAUGAUGACGAACCUGACUAUUUUUCAAAGCACAAGUCCAGACAGUCUGAAAUAAGAUUUCCUCCCCUAUUUGUAUGUAUUUAAAUUUUAAAUAUUUACAUUUGUAUACAUUUUAAUAUUUUGUAUACUGCCAACUUUAAAAAUCAUUUAGUCAUAUAAUUAAGUGAUGACCUUUAUAAUAGUAAAAUAUUGUGAAAGUAAAUACUCACACUGGCAAUUAGAACCUAUUAUUAAUUAGAUGUUUGAAUCCUGAUUACCCAAGUGGCUGACAAGGUGCAGAUCCAGAGCCACAGUGGGUGUCAGAUUUCUUUCUACGUGAGGGCAUUUUCUGAGUCAUUUAGGCAAGAACGCCAGAUUUGUUACAGAAAGAUUUGUUUCCCUCCCCUAUAUUUCAUGAGGAGCACAUUUAACAAUAAUGACCAUUUGGGGCUACUAUUCUGUGCCACACACUUUUCAUAUAUUCCCAUCUGAACAUCACAAAAUACUGCAAAGUAGACAGUAAAAUUCUCAUUUUAUAGACAAGAAGAUUUGAGUACCUUGCCGUGACUUAGAACCAGAAGUGUUGCCUCAAAUUCUAACUCUGCUCAGACUGACUAGAAGCAGGUUUGUGUCUCAGAUGUAGCUACAAAUCACUAGAACAUUCUGAACAGACAUUCUGAAUUCAGAAUGGAAGUGAGUUGUCCAGGUAGAAGAGGCUGGGGUCUUGACAGGUGGCUCCCACACUGGCCGGUCACUGAGGGGGUUUCUCAAAGCCCUGUCCUUCACAGAUGGCUCCCUUGGGCCCUAUCCAUCUUUCCUGCAGGCCAAAUCCAUCCCAGCCCACAAAGUUGGCUCAUGCUUGUCUCAAAUGCCAUUUCCAGGCCUCCUUUAGCCUCUGACUUCACCUUAACCUCCCUCUCUUCCCAGACAGUCUUCCAUGAGGACUCCAGUUCGUGCUGGCUUUUCCCUUCUCCAAAUCCCCUGUGGAAGUGUGGAAGACUUUAUGCUUUGCAUUAUGCAUGGAGGAAAAUCAAAUUCACCAUCUCUCCAGUUUUAGUUCUCAGACUUAGAGAUCCAAGCACAUAGUGAAGACAGGAAUAAACUCUUCAUGUGCACCAUGCUCUUGUUUUUGACACCUGGUCUGAAAUCCGAUUCCCAGCAGCAGGAGUUGAUGGAUAUUUAUCAGCUGUUGUCUCAGAACACUGAGAAACAACAAUGGCUCUCAGAGAUUGCUAGUUCCCUCUUUUUAUCUCUGGGCUUCGAGGGUGUACAGGAGCUCUUUUUGAAACUAUGCUGCAGCCUGGCCAAGGAAGGGUGUGCAUUUAGCAUAGGCCUGCUGGUGUCAGACCUUCUAGAUACUCUUCCAGCAGAGCCUAAAUCUGUGGACACCUGUCAGCCAUUGAAUAUUGUCUUAGUUACUCUUCUCAUUGCUGAGACAAAAUACCCGACACCCAAAGUUAUAGGAGGGAAGGUUUAAUUAGUUCACAGUUUGUAGCGGUUUUAGUCCAUGAUCAGUUGGCUCCAUGGCAGAGUGGCAACAGUUCAUGGUGGC
This is a long non-coding RNA of Heterocephalus glaber (naked mole-rat), 7965 nucleotides long. RefSeq lists it as uncharacterized. Lineage: Eukaryota; Metazoa; Chordata; Mammalia; Rodentia; Bathyergidae. The record is from RefSeq and is a predicted model, not a curated record.